GGGCUAUAGCUCAGUGUGAGAGCCCCGCCCGGUGAAUUGCGGCAUGAGGUCUCGGGUGCAAGCACAGGAAGGUCCA
Molecule: transfer RNA, 76 nt
Filed under: Zea diploperennis (diploperennial teosinte)
Lineage: Eukaryota; Viridiplantae; Streptophyta; Magnoliopsida; Poales; Poaceae
Description: tRNA-Ile
Source: RNAcentral